GCAAGUAUCCAGGUCUGGGGCUUGAACCAGAGAGUGGGGAGUCCAGUGCCCUUAACCACUUCCACCGGCUGGCCCCUGAGGUUGAGGGUGGCAGGGCGCUGACUCGCAGGAGGUUCUGGGUAUACUCCUGGAUCUGGGCUCUGGGCUAUGCGGUGCACCUCACUGUUCCCGACCUCUGCAGCCGUGAGUCCACUCCUCCCUGGUACCCCACAGCCUCCCGGGGUGUCUCGCCACUAACUGCGAGCGGAGACCCUGAACUGAGCCAGACUCCGGCCCGGCGUCUUUCCUUUGAUUCUCACAGGGAGCUGGGAAAGCAGGCACAGGUGCGUGGCCUGCUCCCCACGCGGUCCGCUCAGGCGCUGCUCUCACAGAACGAGUGCUAGCGUCUCUUCUCAAAGCCCCAUCAGCACCGGACGCUGUCAGUCAAAGGACGAGAGGGCGUGUUUCCCGGACUCUCGUUGGAACACGGGAUUGCGUCUGAUGAAAUGUAAUUAUGCCCCCCACCCCCACCCCCUUCUCUGGGACAGCCGCAGCGCUCGCUGGAUCCGAGAUGCACGUUUGCCGAACGCCGCGCGGAACGGCGCCCGGCCGGACUCGAGGCCCUGCAGACCUGCCCUGCGUGGUCCGCCCGGGGCGCCACGGGGGCAUGGCCUCUGCGGAGUUCGCGCGGAGCGACUGGCUGCGGGCGCCGGCAGGCCAGAGCACGAGCUGGCAGGCCCCUCCUGCGACAUCUGCCCCUCGGUGACGCCGGUCUUUCCCGGAACCCUCAGGCUCAUCUCCUCGCUUGCGAAAUGACCACCGCCCGGGAGCCACGCGCCUCUGCUGGGGCCCCCACAGCCGCCGUCCGCGCUGCUGAAAUGCCAGCCCGCCGCAUCUCGAAUCCCUGCUGCGAGGACUCUGCGCUUAGGCAGCGGGGCCACCCGGCUGAUCCCGAGACGCAUCUCGAGGGCCUUCGCUCCGGCACGUCUGCAGAGCCCGCGCUGUAACGUUCAAGGUUCCGGGGGUACCAAGGCGCCUGAUGCAAACUAUUCACCACCUUAGACACCAGGGAAGCCUUAAACAGGUGAGGAAAGAUGCCAGCUUUCUUCCCAGGAAACUCAGUACAGCGCAGAUGUCCGCUCCACCCUAACUGGUCUGGAGACCAGCUGCCACCUCAAAACCACAGCAAGAGGUUCCGUGCGCACUGCCAAGUCCACGCUCGGGAAAUGCAAAGGCCAAGGUCGGCCCAGGGUGAGCGCCUCCAAGG
Tupaia belangeri chinensis (Chinese tree shrew) is the source of this 1246-nucleotide long non-coding RNA. RefSeq lists it as uncharacterized. The transcript has 2 exons. The record is from RefSeq and is a predicted model, not a curated record. Lineage: Eukaryota; Metazoa; Chordata; Mammalia; Scandentia; Tupaiidae.